GGUUUCGUGGUGUAGUUGGUUAUCACGUCAGUCUAACAGCUCGAGAGCGUCUCACCCGACCGUCCUCACUGCAACACUGAAGGUCUCCAGUUCGAACCUGGACGAAAUCA
Colletotrichum zoysiae is the source of this 110-nucleotide non-coding RNA. NCBI's taxonomy places the organism in Eukaryota, Fungi, Ascomycota, Sordariomycetes, Glomerellales, Glomerellaceae. The record is from the annotation of a GenBank genome assembly.